UGGCUCAGAUUGAACGCUGGCGGCAGGCCUAACACAUGCAAGUCGAGCGGUAGCACAGAGAGCUUGCUCUCGGGUGACGAGCGGCGGACGGGUGAGUAAUGUCUGGGAAACUGCCUGAUGGAGGGGGAUAACUACUGGAAACGGUAGCUAAUACCGCAUAAUGUCGCAAGACCAAAGUGGGGGACCUUCGGGCCUCAUGCCAUCAGAUGUGCCCAGAUGGGAUUAGCUAGUAGGUGGGGUAACGGCUCACCUAGGCGACGAUCCCUAGCUGGUCUGAGAGGAUGACCAGCCACACUGGAACUGAGACACGGUCCAGACUCCUACGGGAGGCAGCAGUGGGGAAUAUUGCACAAUGGGCGCAAGCCUGAUGCAGCCAUGCCGCGUGUGUGAAGAAGGCCUUCGGGUUGUAAAGCACUUUCAGCGGGGAGGAAGGCGAUAAGGUUAAUAACCUUGUCGAUUGACGUUACCCGCAGAAGAAGCACCGGCUAACUCCGUGCCAGCAGCCGCGGUAAUACGGAGGGUGCAAGCGUUAAUCGGAAUUACUGGGCGUAAAGCGCACGCAGGCGGUCUGUCAAGUCGGAUGUGAAAUCCCCGGGCUCAACCUGGGAACUGCAUUCGAAACUGGCAGGCUAGAGUCUUGUAGAGGGGGGUAGAAUUCCAGGUGUAGCGGUGAAAUGCGUAGAGAUCUGGAGGAAUACCGGUGGCGAAGGCGGCCCCCUGGACAAAGACUGACGCUCAGGUGCGAAAGCGUGGGGAGCAAACAGGAUUAGAUACCCUGGUAGUCCACGCCGUAAACGAUGUCGAUUUGGAGGUUGUGCCCUUGAGGCGUGGCUUCCGGAGCUAACGCGUUAAAUCGACCGCCUGGGGAGUACGGCCGCAAGGUUAAAACUCAAAUGAAUUGACGGGGGCCCGCACAAGCGGUGGAGCAUGUGGUUUAAUUCGAUGCAACGCGAAGAACCUUACCUGGUCUUGACAUCCACAGAACUUUCCAGAGAUGGAUUGGUGCCUUCGGGAACUGUGAGACAGGUGCUGCAUGGCUGUCGUCAGCUCGUGUUGUGAAAUGUUGGGUUAAGUCCCGCAACGAGCGCAACCCUUAUCCUUUGUUGCCAGCGGUCCGGCCGGGAACUCAAAGGAGACUGCCAGUGAUAAACUGGAGGAAGGUGGGGAUGACGUCAAGUCAUCAUGGCCCUUACGACCAGGGCUACACACGUGCUACAAUGGCAUAUACAAAGAGAAGCGACCUCGCGAGAGCAAGCGGACCUCAUAAAGUAUGUCGUAGUCCGGAUUGGAGUCUGCAACUCGACUCCAUGAAGUCGGAAUCGCUAGUAAUCGUAGAUCAGAAUGCUACGGUGAAUACGUUCCCGGGCCUUGUACACACCGCCCGUCACACCAUGGGAGUGGGUUGCAAAAGAAGUAGGUAGCUUAACCUUCGGGAGGGCGCUUACCACUUUGUGAUUCAUGACUGGGGUGAA
This 1472-nucleotide ribosomal RNA is filed under the name Klebsiella sp. Its description in RNAcentral is "bacterial SSU rRNA". It matches the Rfam family "Bacterial small subunit ribosomal RNA". The record is from RNAcentral. Lineage: Bacteria; Pseudomonadati; Pseudomonadota; Gammaproteobacteria; Enterobacterales; Enterobacteriaceae.